AACCCGUUGCUAACACAUGCACGAUACGGUGCUCUCUGAGACAGAGAGUGGUUUGUCCAACUCGCAACUCCAAAUGAAUUGAAAAUUUUAGGUUAGUGAUUGUUUUUCCAAAAGGAGCAGAAAUAAAAAAUAAAUACUUAGGCAUAAAAGAAGAAUUUGGCAAUGUCAAAGAGAGAAGACAAGAGUAUAACUAUAGUCAGAUCCACGUUAUAAUGGCAGGGGAUAAAGAUAGAAGAAUAGCGAUACCGAUUCUCUGCAUUAAUUAUAUUUCUACACCGUCAAAAACAUAAUUGGCAUCGUUGUGGACCUGGAAAAGUAUAGUACCACCGGCUUUGUCGAAUGAUAGAUAAGGAUAGCAAAACCAAAGUUGAUCAAAUACUGUCAUUAUAACGUAGACCUCACUAUACAUCAAAGUCAACAAAAACAGUGGUUCUUGAAAACUUUUAACUUGGAUAAAGAAGUGUUUCAGUGCUUUGAAAAGACUGACUUAAAUGAAUAAAAAAAUUUAUUUUAAUGAUACAAAGAAAGUACAAUAUUUUAAUUUAGCAAGCUGUGUGAAAUUGUUCCUCCCUCCAAGUGACAGAAAAAGGUUGUCAAUUUUAAGACUGAAAAACAUUUUGUUUGGAAAUAUUCUAUCCAAAGUGUUGGUCAUUAAGUAGACAUUUGCCUAUAAUUUCUUAUAAAGUUAUUAGUUUUUACCAAGUAAGAGUGAAAUGCAUUGGAAAAAAAAGUUGAAGAGAAACCUCUAGAUAAACUGUGACUAUUUACAGAUGGCAAGCACUUCCAAUGCACGCCCUAAUCCCCCAAAGAGGAGGCGUGAGGAGGAUGGGAACGUUGCCCCUCCUAAGAGAAGGUGCAUUGCACCUCAA
This is a long non-coding RNA of Nilaparvata lugens (brown planthopper), 869 nucleotides long. RefSeq lists it as uncharacterized. The transcript is spliced from 2 exons. The record is from RefSeq and is a predicted model, not a curated record. NCBI's taxonomy places the organism in Eukaryota, Metazoa, Arthropoda, Insecta, Hemiptera, Delphacidae.